GGCUAGUCCUAAUGCAGUGGUGUUUACAACUAAUUGAUCACAACAAGCUACAGAAUUAUUUAUUCCUUCUCCACUUCCACUGCUUCACUUCACUAGCCUUUA
Molecule: Y RNA, 102 nt
Filed under: Macaca mulatta (Rhesus monkey)
Lineage: Eukaryota; Metazoa; Chordata; Mammalia; Primates; Cercopithecidae
Description: Y RNA (ENSMMUG00000055359.1)
Rfam family: Y RNA
About the family: Y RNAs are components of the Ro ribonucleoprotein particle (Ro RNP), in association with Ro60 and La proteins. The Y RNAs and Ro60 and La proteins are well conserved, but the function of the Ro RNP is not known.
Source: Rfam by way of RNAcentral